Long non-coding RNA from Humulus lupulus (European hop), 392 nucleotides. RefSeq lists it as uncharacterized. The record is from RefSeq and is a predicted model, not a curated record. The transcript has 3 exons. Lineage: Eukaryota; Viridiplantae; Streptophyta; Magnoliopsida; Rosales; Cannabaceae.
UAUAAAACAAACUCUACACAGCCUUCUUCCUCAUUCACGAACCCGAGAGCAAACCAGAGAGGAAUUGGGCGAUUUGGGGCUGCGUUUUUAGGGUUCUAAGGUUGUGAUUUUGUGGUGAGAUUUUAGAGAGUAUUUUGCAUCAAAAUUUCAAUAUCAAUCACACAUUUGAGCGAAUUUGAUUACUAAGUGAAGUAACUUUGCUAGCUUUUGGAUUAAAGAUUGCAACAGGUACAUAUAUAUUCUCUUACUUCUACUUUUAAUAUUAUUAAACAAAUGUUAGAGGAGUUUGAAUAUCUUAAAUAUUCAUCCAUAGUGAAGUAGGUUCUGAGAUUAAAAUUGUGUGCUGCGGUGAUAACGGAAGGUUGAGAACUUGUGUGUAUUAGUGAAGUAGG